AAGAUUAACAUAAUUAGGCUUCUAACCUAAAAAUUAAUGAUUUAUUCAUUUAAUCUUU
RNAcentral lists this transfer RNA (58 nucleotides) under Dermacentor albipictus. Its description in RNAcentral is "tRNA-Ser". The record is from RNAcentral. Lineage: Eukaryota; Metazoa; Arthropoda; Arachnida; Ixodida; Ixodidae.